AUACAUGCAGUCGAGCGGAGUUUUGAAAAGCUUGCUUUUCAAAGACUUAGCGGCGGACGGGUGAGUAACACGUGGGCAACCUGCCCUUGAGACGGGGAUAACUCCGGGAAACCGGAGCUAAUACCGGAUAACACAUAUCUUCGCAUGAGGAUAUGUUAGAAGGUGGCUUUUAGCUACCACUCAAGGAUGGGCCCGCGGCGCAUUAGCUAGUUGGUGAGGUAACGGCUCACCAAGGCGACGAUGCGUAGCCGACCUGAGAGGGUGAUCGGCCACACUGGGACUGAGACACGGCCCAGACUCCUACGGGAGGCAGCAGUAGGGAAUCUUCCGCAAUGGACGAAAGUCUGACGGAGCAACGCCGCGUGAGUGAUGAAGGUUUUCGGAUCGUAAAGCUCUGUUGUUAGGGAAGAACAGUACCUGUUAAAUAAGCAGGUACCUUGACGGUACCUAACCAGAAAGCCACGGCUAACUACGUGCCAGCAGCCGCGGUAAUACGUAGGUGGCAAGCGUUGUCCGGAAUUAUUGGGCGUAAAGCGCGCGCAGGCGGUUCCUUAAGUCUGAUGUGAAAGCCCACGGCUCAACCGUGGAGGGUCAUUGGAAACUGGGGAACUUGAGUGCAGAAGAGGAGAGCGGAAUUCCACGUGUAGCGGUGAAAUGCGUAGAGAUGUGGAGGAACACCAGUGGCGAAGGCGGCUCUCUGGUCUGUAACUGACGCUGAGGCGCGAAAGCGUGGGGAGCGAACAGGAUUAGAUACCCCUGGUAGUCCACGCCGUAACGAUGAGUGCUAAGUGUUAGAGGGUUUCCGCCCUUUAGUGCUGCAGCAAACGCA
This 829-nucleotide ribosomal RNA is filed under the name Priestia endophytica. RNAcentral describes it as "bacterial SSU rRNA". It matches the Rfam family "Bacterial small subunit ribosomal RNA", at positions 51 to 859 of the family's 1533-position model. The record is from RNAcentral. Lineage: Bacteria; Bacillati; Bacillota; Bacilli; Caryophanales; Bacillaceae.